RNAcentral lists this transfer-messenger RNA (367 nucleotides) under Thermoleophilia bacterium. It matches the Rfam family "transfer-messenger RNA". Rfam says of the family: Bacterial tmRNA, also known as 10Sa RNA or SsrA, is named for its dual tRNA and mRNA-like properties. Lineage: Bacteria; Bacillati; Actinomycetota; Thermoleophilia. The record is from RNAcentral.
GGGGGCGUCAUGGUUUCGACGUGGUCGUCUACAGGGAUUGGUUGCGAGCCGAGGAUGUCGGUUGGCCUCGUUAAAAAAUCCGGCAGUAUGAACUGCGAAGUCUGAUACUGACAUCGCUUUCGCCGCCUGAUCCUAGGAUCACGUGACGAACGUCUUUGAACCCUGGGCCCGUGGGGUGCAAACGGCGUAAAACAACGGGCUUGUUCUCCGGCGGAGUGGUGUGCCGACGGGGGAGACCUUAUGCACCUGGCUCGAAAAACGCCGGCCCGCAGAGCCGCUUUCGAGUGAGAUUGAUCAGCGGGCUACGCUCGUAGACGCCUUUUCCGAGCGGUCGCGGACCCGGGUUCGAUUCCCGGCGCCUCCACUC